AUGACGUACUUGUACUGAUUGAGAUUUUAACACGAAGUGAGUGGCGAACGGGUGAGUAACACGUGGGUAACCUGCCCAGAAGUAGGGGAUAACACCUGGAAACAGAUGCUAAUACCGUAUAACAGAGAAAACCGCAUGGUUUUCUUUUAAAAGAUGGCUCUGCUAUCACUUCUGGAUGGACCCGCGGCGUAUUAGCUAGUUGGUGAGGUAAAGGCUCACCAAGGCAGUGAUACGUAGCCGACCUGAGAGGGUAAUCGGCCACAUUGGGACUGAGACACGGCCCAGACUCCUACGGGAGGCAGCAGUAGGGAAUCUUCCACAAUGGACGCAAGUCUGAUGGAGCAACGCCGCGUGAGUGAAGAAGGGUUUCGGCUCGUAAAGCUCUGUUGUUAAAGAAGAACGUGGGUAAGAGUAACUGUUUACCCAGUGACGGUAUUUAACCAG
Molecule: ribosomal RNA, 444 nt
Filed under: Pediococcus pentosaceus
Lineage: Bacteria; Bacillati; Bacillota; Bacilli; Lactobacillales; Lactobacillaceae
Description: bacterial SSU rRNA
Rfam family: Bacterial small subunit ribosomal RNA
Source: RNAcentral